RNAcentral lists this ribosomal RNA (407 nucleotides) under uncultured bacterium. RNAcentral's name for it is "partial 16S ribosomal RNA". It matches the Rfam family "Bacterial small subunit ribosomal RNA", at positions 30 to 526 of the family's 1533-position model. The record is from RNAcentral.
AUUGAACGCUGGCGGCAGGCCUAACACAUGCAAGUCGAGCGGAGCGGCGGACGGGUGAGUAAUGCCUAGGAAUCUGACUGGUAGUGGGGGAUAACGUCCGGAAACGGGCGCUUAUACCGCUUACUAUCAGAUGCGCCUAGGUCGGAUUAGCUAGUUGGUGGGGUAAAGGCCUACCAAGGCGACGCUCCGUAACUGGUCUGAGAGGAUGAUCAGUCAGACUGGAACUGAGACAGGGUCCAGACUCCUACGGGAGGCAGCAGUGGGGAAUAGUGGACAAUGGGCGAAAGCCUGAUACAGCCAUGCCGCGUGUGUGAAGAAGGUCUUCGGAUUGUAAAGCACAUUAAGUUGGGAGGCGUUACCAACAGAAUAAGCACCGGCUAACUUCGUGCCAGCAGCCGCGGUAAUAC